CAAAUGAGAAAGCAGAAGCAGAUCAAAACCAAGAGUCAGUGUAUGUAUGUCUGAUGUUGUACUGACUGGAAAUGAUUCCAAAAGUCAACAUAUCUCAUCAGAGAUCCCAGUGCCCGCACGUUGCUAUCUCAUGGUUUGCUCCCGAUGUUUGGAUUCAAGCAUCAAGAGUGCAGGAAAUGAAUUUCAGUAGAGCUGCAGUGAAAGUAGAACAAAGAGAUUGCAACAGUGAGUAAAAACUCCCAAGAGAUUGACCAUACCCAUUUGGGCAUGAGUAUCUCUUUAGUAGGUGUCUAGGAAAGGUGCUGGUGUUUCAACAACACUGCUGUAACCUUUCCACAAGUGUGCUGGGUAAGAACAGGCACCACUGCUCUGGGAAAAAUGUGCAUCAGCAAGAUGGCAAAGGACUUGAAUCCUCACCAGACAAUCCAGGGAGACAGCACUUGGCUGAGGAUUGGCCAUGGGGGUUCUGUCCCCACCACCAGUGCAACAUUCUCUGUGGCUGUGACUGAUGUUAGGUCACAAAGGUUUGGCAGCCAGGGGUUGCUAAUUUGGUGCUUGCAUAGCUAAGUGUGGGAAAAGAAGCAUAUGACAUGGUUCCAUUUAUUAUUAAAAACCACAGAAAUGUAUUUGAUUGUUGGGGAGUUGUCCUUUGUCUUCCUGUCACUUGUUCCAUACCAUUGCUGGUUCUGCUUUUUACAGUCACAUGUUCCCCUCUAGGCUGGGGAGAGGAUUUUCAAGAUGAGUUACAGCUAUGCUGCUGACUUCAUAUUUGGUAGACUGUGCUCAUGUUUGCUCAUGUUUUGAUAUUAUGCUUCUUUUUUUCUACUGCCACAGAACUUCCUGCCACAUACGAAAAACUUCUGCAAUAAUGGCCUUGUUUGCAUGACAUGAUUUUGAGGAAAACCCUUCAUAGCACGAGGGCAAAGUGUCAGUAGUUGAACACUUGGGCACCUCUCUAAGACCUAAGAUGUCUUGCACAACAGUAAGCCAGGGCCCCCAGCAUAAGAAAGACAUAGAACUGUGGGAGCAAGUCAAGAGGAGGGCUACAGAGGUGAUCAGAGGGGUAGGGCAACUUCCCUAUGAAGAAAGGCUGAGGGAUCUGGGCUUGUUUAGCUGGAGAAGAGAAGGCUAUGGGGAGACCUCACUGUGGCCUUCCAGUUCUUUAAAGGGAGCUUAACAACAGGAGGGAGUGCGACUUUUUUACAUGGCCUGAUAAUGAGAGGACAAGGAAGAAUGGUUUUAAACUAAAAAGGGGGAAACUCAUAGAUGUUCGGAGGUGUUUUUUACUCAGAGGGUGGUUAGGCACUGGAACACGUUGCUUUGAGAAGCUGUGGGUGCCCCAUCCCUGGAGGCAUUCAAGGCCAGGUUGGACGGGGCCCGGGGCAGUCUGAUCCGGUGGGUGGCAGCCCAGACCGUGGCAGGGGGCUGGAACUAGAUGAUCUUCAAAGUUCUUUCCAUCCCAAACCAUUCUAUGAUUCUAUGAUUCUCCGAAUACAUUUCUGUCUCUGUUUAUCCUAGCAAGAGAUUUUCCCCACAGACCUUCCCUACUAGUCUCUAAUGUCUCCUCCAAGAGGAUUGCAAUUAUUCUUAAAAGCAAAAACUAAGCAAUCUUUUAUUAUUAUUAUUAUUUUACCGAGAAAGAUUGGGUCCUCAACUACCGCCUAUCACAGCAGUGGGGUAUUUCACCCAGGGAAUAGAGGAGUUGUAGUUAUGCACUUCAGCCCCAGAAGAGGUUCAAAUGCACAUCUUCCCUAGGAUAAGAGAGCCCCAGCAACAAGGUGGGUAAGCUCCUCUUUCAGUGCACUAAAUGUAAUGUAAUGAACCUGCAGUUGCUCUUACAAAUAACACACGUGUUGUCAGCAUGCCUUGGCACUGAGUGUUAUCUCCCAGGCAGGCUGGGUGCUCCCAGCUCACGCUGUGGCUUUCUUGAGAGGCUGAGGCGGAAGUCAGCUGCUGAAGCCACAGCAGAACUGAAGGAGUUUGUAAGAAUUCCAGGUCAGGUUGGGGCACCUGCAAAGAGUGUUAAGGUCCAACACUGAGUAUGUCAGUGUAUCCUGAGGGCUUGUUUGCUGCUGGGUAUGUCUUUUCUAUAUUGACACAUUGGAGAUGUGUCUUCUGAAGCAAGAGGUGGGUCAGCUUCCGAGUGACAGUCUAAGUUUUGUGCCUGGUUUACUUCAAUCAUUGUUACUGUUUGAAUGAGAGUCCUCUAUUGACUAUCUAUAGUUCUAAACAAGGAAAACAAAUACUGUUUCUUCAGACGAGCUGCCAAUGUCUCUGUAAUUCCCACGGUUGUAGUGCUUUGAUUGGAGUUGGGUGCCAGAUGCAUGGAUUCCUCUGACAAACAGCUUUCUGGCAGGAGAGGAAGAUCUGGCUCCAGAAAGCCUGUUUGUGUAAAGCGUUGCCAUGUUACUGUCUAUCGUUACCUGCACUGAUUUGCUUUGAAGAAGCAGAGAAGCUAGACACCAGUUAAAUAAAUAAAAAUAGAGAUAGCGAACACUUUGCACACAUCCAGACAAUCCCUUUCCUACCACUAAGUGACCCUGAAAGGGAAGCUUUAGACAUUUUUGAUCCGGCACCCCAGUAGUAAGGGGAAAAACUCAGUUCUACUGAUUUUGUUCUCACUCCGCCCAGUGAUGGAAGCCAAUUAUCAUUGCUGACAGAACACAAAAGUUUUCACGAACAAGGAAAGGUCAGCAGAGAGUGGAGACACUCAACCAGGUGAUGAAGGAGUGGGUGGAAGUGAAGGCAGAGGGAGCCAACAUCUUUCAGGGGCAGGUUGAUUCUCCUCCUGCUUUGCUUCUUGUCCUCCCCCAGUCUCCAAGCAGCUGGCAAACAUUCUCCAUUUUGGUUGGCAAGAAAUCAGCAAGUGACCUGAUGUUAAGAUCUGGGAAAACUGGGAUGGUUUGUUUGCUUGACCUUUAUCUUCCAGGAACUCAGUUUAUGCAUGAGUGCUCUGACUGCUAGCUGCUGGCCAGCCCCAGAGAGCCCCUGCUCUCAGUAGCCACAGGCCCCCAGGCCUGCCCCUGAGGGAGCAGCAGACCCUUUUUCUCUGCUCCAGACACCUCUCAUCUCAGUCCAUCCUGGGGAGAUAUCAUGGCUCCCGCCAGCUAUUCACACAUAGCACAACAUAUGUUUCUUUGCUACUGCAGCAAGAAGGAAUUCCUUCAGGCAGGGCUCUGAAGGCCCUUCCUCGCCAUUGCUCCUGGCACCUCUUCCUAGAUCCCACCACCCUACACAGAAAACAAAAGGACACUGAAACCACAACCACUUUGACCACCCACGGGGGAGACAGAAGUGCUCUGAGGGAAAUUCAAGAAGGAUCUUCGACCAGGCACCGCUGAAGCUAAGAUUUGUCAAGUCAUAACUUCAACGCUCUGCAGAGCGUUUGUUGUUUAAGACCGUAUACAGGAAAUCUGAGCAGUAAAUGUUCUCCAUCUUUGAUCAAUGCGCCAGCGUGCUGCUGUGAAGUGAAACAGCGUAGGCUGGCAGAUGAGAGUUUUCCCCAGGGGCAUUCUGUAGGGAACACAACUGAGCUGACUUAACAAGGAAAU
RNAcentral lists this long non-coding RNA (3551 nucleotides) under Gallus gallus (chicken). RNAcentral's name for it is "lncRNA (ENSGALG00010012321.1)". The record is from RNAcentral. Lineage: Eukaryota; Metazoa; Chordata; Aves; Galliformes; Phasianidae.